GACCCACGGGACACUACCGGCGACCAAGGUACCUCAAAUCCUUCCGGGAGCUGUCACAAGGUCAAGGGGAGCUGCACGCAAUCUCAGGAUCAAGUGCAAUGCCUUCGCGGAAGAGUUCAUCCAAGUACACGACCCACGGCCAUACGGCCCCAUUGGACUCGACCAUCCGGACGAUCAUGAGCUUGUCCGGACCGUCUUCACCAUCACUAGGUGAAGGCAUCAAAGUCACUAGUUGGACGUGGUACUCUUUUUCCCUACUUGGGUUUAUCCCACGUGGUUUACCAAGAGGGUUUUAACGAGGCCAACGUACGCUAGCGCAUGACCACGCAUCUCCGCAUGACGUGGCCAUCUCUCCUUCCUUUCGUAAUAAAGCCGUUAGGCUCUUCUUGUCUUAUGGUUUGUAUUUUGACACGUCUAUCCUUGUUGACCCGCGCUUUGACUGUUUGCUUUAGGGUUUUAUGAGUCUCCCUUGUAAACGCCUAUAUAAAGGCCCUCUAAGUCACUUGUAAGGGUUAGCUUCUUUUGAAAUAAAAAUCAGUCUUUUCCUUUUCUCAUUUGUUGCGAAAACAUUGAGAGCUCCUUAGAGUCUUUGAAUCGGAUUCAAAGCCUCUAAGUGUAACCGUAUCACGAGCCCACCAUCCCUCGUGUGUCGUUACCUCGUUCCGCCUUCACACCCCUCUUCUCCAAGUCACCACCGGUUCGAGAUAGUCACCGGUUGUCGCUACCCACCCUUGCAAAUCAUCUCUUUGGAGUCUAGGCGAUUCGAGCUACUCAUCGUCAACCUCCCUCGCCGUCCCGUAACCGCCGUAACCGAAGGCCCUGUCCGUACCGAUCGCCGACCGUACCAUCGUCCCGAAGGCUAUUUCCGUGACCGUGUGACGCAUCAGUUUUUGGUACCGUACCAUCGUCCCGAAGGCUAUUUCCGUGACCGUGUGACGCAUCAGUUUUUGGUAUCAGAGCCGAACGUUCCUAAGGUUGUAUCUAUCCUUCUUAGUUCUCUUUGUGUUGUUUACUGUUGUUUCAUUUCAAAAAAAAAAAAAAAAAAAAAGGUUUGCUUUCCUUGUGUUCAUCGCCUUCCCUUCUUGUUUCUCUUAGAAAGUCUUAGUCUUUUUGUGUUUUAGUAUCACUUUGGGUUAAAAGCUUGAGUUUUGCUUCGGGUUUUUGUUUCGUGGCCUUGAAAACCACUCGUUUGAAGUCGCUUUUCGUUUUAGCCGGUUUUGGUUUUUUUUUUUUUUCGUGUUCUUCGUGUUCAUCGUGCUUUUCACCGUGUUUUUCAUCUUUUUAGGCUGUUAGAUCUUUAGUUGUUUUGUUCCUUAGUGUUAUCGCUGUAGUUUGGUGGCCUUGAAACCACGUGUAUCGUUUUGGGUCACACGGUUUCGUACCGUUUGUCCUCUAGCGUUUUUGUUUUGGUCUUAGGUUGCUUUUUGUUGCUUUUUGACCGUUCUCUCUCCAAUCAUGAGCUGUCACCUUUGUUGAAAUUGAUUCCAUCUUAUCAACAUAUCGCAACCUUAAAACGCACGUGUUCUUUGUUUGGGACAGGGGGAACGAACCUCGCUAGCCGUACGGACCAAACGGACCACGACAACGACCAUACGUACCAUCGACCACCAGCCGCCGUCUGACAUUUCCCGGAUACCGGAAUCCGUACUAUGGCCGGACAAGACCCACCUAUAGCACCCGCUCCUCCACCCGACCUUGGAGUUAUUCUGACCCAAAUCCAAGCUCAAAUGAGACGGAUUGAUGAUCGGCUUUAUCUCUUGGAGCAAGCUAUACCACCACCCGUGCCCCUUGUACGACGGGUCCGAGACCAAAGACUACCACCAGUCGACGACCAAGAACAAGAUCAAGGUCAAGUUGAGGGACACACGUCGGAUGAAGAAGACCCCGACUAUCCAAGACGAAGAAACAACCGACGGGACAACGAACGACCAAUGGGUCCUAAUCUCACCGGACCCUCCUGCAAGCUUACCGUCCCAACCUUUGCGGGAAAGGUUGACCCGGAGGCCUACCUACAAUGGGAAGGCCGAAUGGACAAGGUUUUCUCUUGUUACAACUACCCGGAGAUACGAAAGGUCAUUAUAGCCGCUGCUCAAUUCACGGACCAUGCCCUUACUUGGUGGGACCGCGACGUCGACGACCGACGACGUAAUCACGAGAGACCCGUGGCCACUUGGGACGCAAUGAAGGCCAUCAUGAGACGCCGAUACAUUCCCCAAUACUUUAGCCGUGACCUACAACGGCGAUUUAGGAAGCUCACUCAAGGAAUAAAAAGCGUUGAGGAAUAUUAUGAGGACUUUGAGCACUUGAGGAACCGUUUACAACUAGAAGAGACCGAAGAGGCUUUGAUGGCCCAAUUCUUAGACGGAUUGAAUGACCGGAUCACAAGGAAGGUUGAACGCCAAUCUUACCAAGGGUUUGAGGAGAUGUUGCACCUAGCCAUCCAAGUAGAACAACAAAUCAAGAAGAAAAUUGCAAGCACCAUCCGGACCAAGGGACAAGAACUUCCAAGUUGGUCGCCUAACGCCUCACCGUCUCAUGGGAACAACCGAGUAGCCGACAAGACCAACCGGGGUACCACCGAACCCAAAGCCGCCCGUAUCGACACAAGAUUCAAGCCCCGAGAGACCACCAAAGACAACCGUCCCGACCCAAGACCUCAACCCUCCGACUCAAGGACCCGAGACAUCAUUUGCUUCAAGUGUCAAGGCCGAGGUCAUUAUGCCCGAGACUGCCCCAACCAACGCACCAUGAUCAUCACCACCGCCGGAGACUAUGAAUCCCAAGACGAAGACGACGCCCCACAAGGCCAAGGCAUUGACUCCGAGAUCGAGGAAGCCAUUGCCGAACCGGAAGUUGGAGAACUUCUCAUGAUCCGCCGUAUGCUAAGCACAAGCCAAGCCAUGGACGACUCCAACCAACGCGACAACAUCUUCCACACCCGGUGCAUGGUAAGUGGGAAGGUUUGUGGCUUGAUCAUAGAUGGGGGCUCUUGCACCAAUGUUGCGAGUUCUUAUAUGGUCAAGAAACUUUCUUUGGCUACCACAAGCCAUCCCAAACCUUAUAAGCUUAAAUGGUUGAACAACAAAUCCGUAAUCCAAGUCUCGGAACAAGUGUUAGUUUCUUUUAGUGUUGGCCCCUACCAAGACCAGGUCUUAUGCGAUGUUGUCCCAAUGCAAGCUAGCCACCUAUUGUUGGGUCGGCCUUGGCAAUUUGAUAAGAAGACAUCGCAUUGUGGCCUUACCAAUGAGUAUACUUUUAUCCAUAAUAGUAAACGGAUUUGCUUAAAGCCUUUGUCACCCACCCAAGUCAAUGAAAUGCAAUCGAAAAUGUCUAGUGAACCUAGCUCUAAGUCGAAUUUCUUGGUUAAUUCUAGUGAUGUUAGGAGAUCACUAUGUGACUCCUCUUGCCAAGUGUUACUAAUGGUCUUUAAAGAUGUUUUGACUAUAGAUUGUGAAGGCAAGGACAUUCCGGAGGAGAUUAAGGCCAUCAUCAAGCGUUUUCAAGAUGUGUUUCCGGAAGAACUACCGCAUGGCUUGCCACCUAUCCGAGGGAUUGAACAUCAAAUAGAUCUUAUUCCGGGAGCUCAAUUGCCAAAUAGACCCGCCUAUAGAGUCAACCCAACCGAAGCUAAAGAACUAGAGAAGCAAGUGGGAGACCUCAUGAAGCAAGGAUAUGUCCGAGAGAGCCUUAGCCCUUGUGCCGUACCAGUUCUCCUAGUACCUAAGAAAGAAGAUCCGGAGUUUGGGGAGAGUUAUAGGGAUCACGGCAAAGGAAUUCACUCACGGUUCUACAUCCAAGACGGGUUUCUCUUUCGGGACAAAAGGCUUUGCAUACCCGCCAGAUCUAUUAGGACCCUACUAAUGCAAGAGUCACAUGGAGGAGGCCUAACCGGGCAUUUUGGGGUUACUAAGACUUUGGAAGUCUUAAAGGAACAUUUCUAUUGGCCUAAGAAGAAGUUUGGCCUCUCCAACGCCCCAUCCACCUUUAUGCGGUUAAUGAAUCACAUCCUUAGACCUUUCAUUAAUAAGUUUGUUGUGGUCUAUUUUGAUGAUAUUUUAAUCUAUAGCCGUAGCCUAGAGGAUCACUUGGUCCAUCUAGAGAUGGUGUUGGUCACACUUCGAGAAGAAAAGCUAUACGCUAACUUCAAGAAGUGUGUCUUUGGUACUAAUGAACUAGUUUUUCUAGGUUUUGUUGUGAGUGAGCAGGGCCUUAGAGUGGAUCAAGAGAAAAUUCGAGCAAUAGAGGAAUGGCCUACACCGACAACCGUUAGUCAAGUGAGAAGCUUUCAUGGUUUAGCAAGUUUCUACCGGCGUUUUGUCAAGGACUUUAGCACUGUAGCCGCACCUCUUACUGCCAUCACUAAGAAGAGUGAAGAAUUCACUUGGGGAUCGAGUCAAGAAGCGUCAUUUCAAGAGCUAAAGAGGAGAUUAACACAAGCGCCUCUCCUAGUUCUACCAAGUUUUGAGAAGACCUUUGAAGUAGAGUGUGAUGCGUCCGGCAUCGGGAUUGGAGCGGUCCUAACCCAAUGAGGCAAACCCGUGGCCUACUUUAGUGAGAAGUUACAUGGCCCUGUCCUCAACUAUCCGACUUAUGAUAAGGAGUGAUGUUUUGACUAUAGAUUGUGAAGGCAAGGACAUUCCGGAGGAGAUUAAGGCCAUCAUCAAGCGUUUUCAAGAUGUGUUUCCGGAAGAACUACCGCAUGGCUUGCCACCUAUCCGAGGGAUUGAACAUCAAAUAGAUCUUAUUCCGGGAGCUCAAUUGCCAAAUAGACCCGCCUAUAGAGUCAACCCAACCGAAGCUAAAGAACUAGAGAAGCAAGUGGGAGACCUCAUGAAGCAAGGAUAUGUCCGAGAGAGCCUUAGCCCUUGUGCCGUACCAGUUCUCCUAGUACCUAAGAAAGAAGAUCCGGAGUUUGGGGAGAGUUAUAGGGAUCACGGCAAAGGAAUUCACUCACGGUUCUACAUCCAAGACGGGUUUCUCUUUCGGGACAAAAGGCUUUGCAUACCCGCCAGAUCUAUUAGGACCCUACUAAUGCAAGAGUCACAUGGAGGAGGCCUAACCGGGCAUUUUGGGGUUACUAAGACUUUGGAAGUCUUAAAGGAACAUUUCUAUUGGCCUAAGAAGAAGCGGAUGGUCGAGAAGUUCGUAGGCCGUUGCAUCACUUGCCGUACCGCCAAGGCCACCCCACGGCCACAUGGCCUCUACAAGCCCCUACCGAUUCCGAAUGCACCAUGGGUCGAGUUAUCUAUGGAUUUCUUGCUUGGAUUGCCUAUCCAAUACCGCAAAGACUCCAUUUUCGUCGUAGUAGACCGAUUUUCCAAAAUGGCUCACUUUAUACCUUGCAACAAGACAUCGGACGCCACGGCCUUAGCCAACUUGUUCUUUCGAGAAGUUGUGAGGCUCCAUGGAAUACCCCGUAGCAUCGUGUCGGAUUGAGACCCCAAGUUCCUUGGUCACUUUUGGAGGACUUUAUGGAGAAAGAUGGGAACUAAGCUACUAUACUCAACCGCGUGUCAUCCUCAAACGGAUGAUCAAACGGAGGUCGUCAACCGAACCUUAGGCGCCUUGAUCCGGACCACCGUGGCAAGCAAUCCGGGCACUUGGUUAGAGCUACUUCCCCUUAUGGAGUUCGCAUACAAUCAGUCCGUUCAUUCGGCAACGAAGAAGUCUCCAUUUGAAGUGGCCUACGGAUUCAAACCUUUAACCCCCGCGAGUUUGCUACCCUUACCACCCAAUGAGAUAGAAUGUCAAGACGGAUUAGCCAAGGCCGAACUGAUCAAGAAGUUACACACCAAAGUCCGGGAAAAUCUAGAAAGAAGAACCGAGCAAUACGCGCGAAAAGCCAACCAACACCGCAAGGCCAUGAUUUUCAAGCCGGGAGAUUGGGUUUGGUUACACUUAAGACCGGAGUGGUUCCCACAACGUAGAAAGGACAAGCUUAGCCCAAGAGGAGAUGGCCCUUUUCAAGUCAUCGAGCGGAUCAACGACAACGCCUACCGCUUGGAGCUACCCGGUACGUAUAACACGUCUACUUCCUUCAAUGUUUCUGAUUUGGUUCCUUUUGAUGUAGGGAAUGAUGAAGGAGUUCUGAGGUCAGAACCUUCCCAAGGGGGAGGGGAUAAUGAGACCCAACCUACCGGACAGCAUACGGACAACGAUCCGGACGAGGGCCGGGACGAGGGACGGAACAUGGACCAACCCGGAACGACCCACGGGACACUACCGGCGACCAAGGUACCUCAAAUCCUUCCGGGAGCUGUCACAAGGUCAAGGGGAGCUGCACGCAAUCUCAGGAUCAAGUGCAAUGCCUUCGCGGAAGAGUUCAUCCAAGUACACGACCCACGGCCAUACGGCCCCAUUGGACUCGACCAUCCGGACGAUCAUGAGCUUGUCCGGACCGUCUUCACCAUCACUAGGUGAAGGCAUCAAAGUCACUAGUUGGACGUGGUACUCUUUUUCCCUACUUGGGUUUAUCCCACGUGGUUUACCAAGAGGGUUUUAACGAGGCCAACGUACGCUAGCGCAUGACCACGCAUCUCCGCAUGACGUGGCCAUCUCUCCUUCCUUUCGUAAUAAAGCCGUUAGGCUCUUCUUGUCUUAUGGUUUGUAUUUUGACACGUCUAUCCUUGUUGACCCGCGCUUUGAC
RNAcentral lists this long non-coding RNA (6646 nucleotides) under Arabidopsis lyrata. RNAcentral describes it as "long non-coding RNA (ALYR_LNC002704)". Lineage: Eukaryota; Viridiplantae; Streptophyta; Magnoliopsida; Brassicales; Brassicaceae. The record is from RNAcentral.